RNAcentral lists this ribosomal RNA (406 nucleotides) under uncultured bacterium. RNAcentral's name for it is "partial 16S ribosomal RNA". It matches the Rfam family "Bacterial small subunit ribosomal RNA", at positions 30 to 526 of the family's 1533-position model. The record is from RNAcentral.
AUUGAACGCUGGCGGCAGGCCUAACACAUGCAAGUCGAGCGAGCGGCGGACGGGUGAGUAAUGCCUGGGAAACUGCCCGAUGGAGGGGGAUAACUACUGGAAACGGUAGCUAAUACCGCAUACCAUCAGAUCUGCCCAGAUUGGAUUAGCUAGUUGGUGGGGUAACGGCUCACCUAGGCGGCGAUCCCUAGCUGGUCUGAGAGGAGGACCAGCCACACUGGAACUGAGACACGGUCCAGACUCCUACGGGAGGCAGCAGUGGGGAAUAUUGGACAAUGGGCGCAAGCCUGAUGCAGACAUGCCGCGUGUUUGAAGAAGGCCUUCGGGUUGUAAAGCACUUUCGGCGGGGAGGCGUUACCCGCAGAAGAAGCACCGGCUAACUCCGUGCCAGCCGCCGCGGUAAUUC